This 174-nucleotide non-coding RNA is filed under the name marine eukaryotic metagenome. The record is from RNAcentral.
CUCGGGUACUCCCUGUACGGGAGUGAAAUGGGAAGUCGGUGCGCCUAACAGGGUUAUUCCGACGCUGCCCCCGCAACGGUAAUCAGGUUUAAUCGGCAAAGGCCACUGUGUCAAACAGCAUGGGAAGGCGCCCGUAUUUUAUACCUGUGAGCCCGGAGACCGGCCCGUGCCUAU